Callithrix jacchus (white-tufted-ear marmoset) is the source of this 686-nucleotide long non-coding RNA. RefSeq lists it as uncharacterized. The record is from RefSeq and is a predicted model, not a curated record. NCBI's taxonomy places the organism in Eukaryota, Metazoa, Chordata, Mammalia, Primates, Cebidae.
UGAGGGCUCUCCAAGUUACAUCCCAGUUGCUUCACGUUGUCUCUUCCGGGAGAUGAAGGGAAACAGUUGGUUCUUCCGGGUCAAGCGAAGGCACCUCUGACCUUCAGUCCCGUGAGCCACAGCGCCGUCUGUUUGUGAGGCCGCACCAGAGCUGACAUACACAGGCCCAGCCUCCAGGUGCCCCCACACCGUUUUCUUGCAUUAUGAAGCUGAGCAGCCUCACUCUACUCUCUGUGACCAUCCUCCUUUGCCUCUGCAUGACCCAGCCUGGAAUCCUGAGGCGUGUGGCUACACAGAAACCGGGAUAUUGCCCAGAGUUUGAUCUUGAGUGCCCCUUCACCCUCUUACCUAUGUGCUGGCGCGAUAAGAGUUGCAAGGGGGACAAGAAGUGUUGCUACUACAACUGUCGGCGUCAGUGUAUGGAGCCGUGGUGGGUUUUGGAUUGAGUUUACAAUCAUGAAACACUUUCCUCUUUACAUUUACAUUGUGAGGUGGAAAUCCCUUCUUAACCAGGACUGAGGAGACACAGGUGCUACAGGCUCAGACUGGGACAACUGGUCUCCAUGUCAUCCACGGUUGCUCAGGCCCAAGACUUCCUUUUAGCAAGAGUUAAAUGUUUAUUACCAUGAUAACAAGAGAAAGAAUAAAGUGUUAUAUAUUUAAAACUCCAUGAAAAUCUGUAAGUC